AAUUAAAGAACAGAACAUUGUUCUUGCUCUUGGAAAUUCAAUUCCAAAUGUUGGCCACUAGGAACAGAAUACUUACAAUAGCAAAUUCCAAACUUUGCAUCCAAAGUCUUAUCUCUUUUCAAUAAUAAGAACAAAUACCGUUGGGAGCUAACUGCACCAAGACGUGAAAAGCAGAACAAAUGCGUUCCAAAAAUUUCAAAGAAUUCAAGCAAAUCUCGUUCAACAUAUUUCACUGAAGCAGAAGCUUCAUUUGAUUCGAAUAAUUCCAAGAACAGCGCUAAGAAAUUGGAGAGGAUGGAGAACUACUCAUAUAGUGAGUGGGGAAAAUCUUGCAAAGGAAGAGUGUUUGUAUAUUUGUACAACACAUGAUUUUGCGCGGGGCUCCUUUUGACGUUCGGAAUCAGUCUUACUCAUACUUCACGCACGCCUCUAUAAUGUAACGAGAAGUGCAUGUAUCAAACUUUCAGAGCGGAUCUUCAAUAAUUCAAACCAGAUUUUAUAAAGGAGUACGGUGCAAUAUUUCUAAGAGAAUUGGCUCAGGUCCCGAUAGAUAGGUCGAGAGCCCUCUAACUAGGCUA
Molecule: non-coding RNA, 578 nt
Organism: Nicotiana tabacum (common tobacco)
Lineage: Eukaryota; Viridiplantae; Streptophyta; Magnoliopsida; Solanales; Solanaceae
Source: RefSeq, a predicted model, not a curated record